GAUCAUGGUUCAGGAUGAACGCUAGCUACAGGCUUAACACAUGCAAGUCGAGGGGCAGCAUGAACUUAGCUUGCUAAGUUUGAUGGCGACCGGCGCACGGGUGAGUAACACGUAUCCAACCUGCCGAUGACUCGGGGAUAGCCUUUCGAAAGAAAGAUUAAUACCCGAUGGCAUAGUUCUUCCGCAUGGUAGGACUAUUAAAGAAUUUCGGUCAUCGAUGGGGAUGCGUUCCAUUAGG
This 238-nucleotide ribosomal RNA is filed under the name uncultured bacterium. RNAcentral describes it as "partial 16S ribosomal RNA". It matches the Rfam family "Bacterial small subunit ribosomal RNA", at positions 15 to 245 of the family's 1533-position model. The record is from RNAcentral.